CCUACGGGAGGCAGCAGUGGGGAAUAUUGCACAAUGGGGGAAACCCUGAUGCAGCGACGCCGCGUGAGUGAAGAAGUAAUUCGUUAUGUAAAGCUCUAUCAGCAGGGAAGAAAAUGACGGUACCUGAGUAAGAAGCCACGGCUAACUACGUGCCAGCAGCCGCGGUAAGACGUAGGGGGCAAGCGUUAUCCGGAUUUACUGGGUGUAAAGGGAGCGUAGACGGCAGUGCAAGUCUGGAGGGAAAGGCGGGGGCUCAACCCCCGGACUGCUCUGGAAACUGUACGGCUGGAGUGCAGGAGAGGUAAGUGGAAUUCCUAGUGUAGCGGUGAAAUGCGUAGAUAUUAGGAGGAACACCAGUGGCGAAGGCGGCUUACUGGACUGUAACUGACGUUGAGGCUCGAAAGCGUGGGGAGCAAACAGGAUUAGAUACCCCAGUAGUC
RNAcentral lists this ribosomal RNA (440 nucleotides) under uncultured bacterium. Its description in RNAcentral is "partial 16S ribosomal RNA". It matches the Rfam family "Bacterial small subunit ribosomal RNA", at positions 338 to 795 of the family's 1533-position model. The record is from RNAcentral.